Molecule: ribosomal RNA, 253 nt
Filed under: uncultured bacterium
Lineage: Bacteria
Description: partial 16S ribosomal RNA
Rfam family: Bacterial small subunit ribosomal RNA
Source: RNAcentral
UACGUAGGGGGCAAGCGUUGUUCGGAUUUACUGGGCGUAAAGGGCGCGUAGGCGGCGCUGUAAGUCACUUGUGAAAUCUCUGGGCUUAACUCGGAACGGUCAAGUGAUACUGCAGCGCUAGAGUGCGGUAGGGAAGACUGGAAUUCCUGGUGUAGCGGUGAAAUGCGCAGAUAUCAGGAGGAACACCGGUGGCGAAGGCGGGUCUCUGGGCCGAUACUGACGCUGAGGAGCGAAAGCGUGGGGAGCGAACAGG